This 19-nucleotide unclassified non-coding RNA is filed under the name Chlamydomonas reinhardtii. Its description in RNAcentral is "small RNA Cre_1152". Lineage: Eukaryota; Viridiplantae; Chlorophyta; Chlorophyceae; Chlamydomonadales; Chlamydomonadaceae. The record is from RNAcentral.
CCUGAAGCGAGUCGUCCGC